GCCCAGGUGGUGGAAUUGGCAGACACGGCCGGCUCAAACCCGGCUGCCGUAAGGCGUUGCGGGUUCGACUCCCGCCCUGGGCACCA
Molecule: transfer RNA, 86 nt
Filed under: Pseudoflavonifractor phocaeensis
Lineage: Bacteria; Bacillati; Bacillota; Clostridia; Eubacteriales; Oscillospiraceae
Description: tRNA-Leu
Rfam family: tRNA
About the family: Transfer RNA (tRNA) molecules are approximately 80 nucleotides in length.
Source: RNAcentral